This 374-nucleotide ribosomal RNA is filed under the name uncultured prokaryote. Its description in RNAcentral is "bacterial SSU rRNA". It matches the Rfam family "Bacterial small subunit ribosomal RNA", at positions 524 to 896 of the family's 1533-position model. The record is from RNAcentral.
UACAGAGGUCCCAAGCGUUGUUCGGAUUCACUGGGCGUAAAGGGUGCGUAGGUGGCGAGGUAAGUUUGAUGUGAAAGCUCCGGGCUCAACCCGGAAAUGGCAUUGAAUACUCUCUCGCUAGAGGAUUGGAGGGGAGUCUGGAAUUCUCGGUGUAGCAGUGAAAUGCGUAGAUAUCGAGAGGAACACCAGUGGCGAAGGCGAGACUCUGGACAAUUCCUGACACUGAGGCACGAAAGCAGGGGGGGCAAACGGGAUUAGAUACCCCGGUAGUCCGGCCCCUAAGCGGUGCACGUUUGCGGAGGGGGAAACCGACCCCGCCUGUGGCGUAGCUAACGCGAUAAACGUGCCGCCUGGGGAGUACGGUCGCAAGAUUA